Molecule: long non-coding RNA, 517 nt
Organism: Gallus gallus (chicken)
Lineage: Eukaryota; Metazoa; Chordata; Aves; Galliformes; Phasianidae
Source: Ensembl
UUAAAAUAGCUGGUUGUUUAGAACCUUCUAUGUGAAGAGUUUUGGCCCUGAGUAGUCUGCCAAAUAAGAAGCAAAAGCAAGAGAGCAAUUAAUGGCAGAUUCUGCAAAUUGAAUGACUUCCAUCUUUGGCACAGAGACGCUGCAUAAGGGAACUCUAGCACUGUGUGUGUAGUGCUUUGAAGUCUGAUGUCCAUUACCAUUUUUACCAGUAACAUUCAUCCAGUUGUGCAGGGAGCUAAAAGGAAAGGACAACUGAAAGGACUGGAGCCAAACAUCUUCAAAGAAGCUGUGAAAACUUUUCCUGAAAUGAUCCCACUCUGCCUUCUGGCUGAAGAAUAUGACUGAUGUCUUUUCUUCCCCAGUGCAGAAGUACAUCUGUGGAGUAGAGAGACUAGCUUCUACGGCACAUGGGAGAAUAACUUCAUUUUAUGAAUAGUGAAUCCCUGUAUAAUGUCAUCUUCACAUAAUCUCUAUUUUGCUGCUCCAAAACAGAUUUUAUUUCAGUAAAUGUGCAGAC